RNA transcript from Ochotona curzoniae (black-lipped pika), 1358 nucleotides. It is a transcript of the gene named patr class I histocompatibility antigen, B-2 alpha chain-like, with no coding region annotated. Lineage: Eukaryota; Metazoa; Chordata; Mammalia; Lagomorpha; Ochotonidae. The record is from RefSeq and is a predicted model, not a curated record. The transcript is spliced from 8 exons.
GAGGCUUCAGCAUCGGAGUCGUCUGAGCCGUCCAGGAUGGAGUCCAUGGCGCCCCGGACCCUCCUCCUGCUGCUCGCGGGGGCCCUGGCCCUGACCGAGACCCGCCCCCUGACCGAGACCCGGGCGGGCUCCCACUCCCUGAGAUAUUUCUACACCGCCGUGUCCCGGCCCGAACUCGGGGAGCCCCGCUUCAUCGCCGUGGGCUACGUGGACGACACGCAGUUCGUGCGCUUCGACAGCAACGCCACGAACCCGAGGGUGGAGCAGCGGACGGCAUGGAUUCGGCAGAUAGAGCCCGAGUACUGGGAGCAGCAGACACAGGGCAUCAAGAACACCGCACAGGAUUACCGCGUGAACCUUCAGAACCUGCGCGGCUACUACAACCAGAGCGAGGCCGGCUCUCACACCAUCCAGGUGAUGUACGGCUGCGAGAUCGGGGCGGACGGGCGCCUCCUCCGCGGGUACUGGCAGUAUGCCUAUGAUGACAAGGACUACCUCGCCCUGAAUGAGGACCUGCGCUCCUGGACCGCGGCUGACAUGGCGGCUCAGAUCAGCAAGCGCAAGUUCGAGGCAGCGGGUUAUGCUGAGUACAUCAGGGCCUACCUGGAGGGCGAGUGCGUGGAGUGGCUGCGCAGAUACCUGGAGAUGGGAAAGGACACUCUGCAGAGAGCAGACCCACCCACAGCACAUGUGACCCACCACCCAGUCUCUGACCAGAAGGCCACCCUGAGGUGCUGGGCCCUGGGCUUCUACCCCAAGGACAUCACACUCACCUGGCAGCGCGAUGGGGAGGACCUGACCCAGGACACAGAGCUGAUAGAGACCAGGCCUGCAGGGGAUGGAAGCUUCCAGAAGUGGGCAGCUGUGCUGGUGCCUUCUGGAGAGGAGCAGAGAUACACGUGCCAUGUGGUGCAUGAGGGGCUGCCUGAGCCCCUCACCCUGAGAUGGGAGCCCCUUAUUGUCCCUAUCCCUCUCAGAGCCUCCUCAGCCCACUGUGCCCAUGUGGGGAGUCAUCACUGGCCUGGUCCUCCUGGCAGCUGUGCUCAUUGGAGCUGUGGUCACUGUUGUGAUGAAGAGGAAGCGCUCAGGUGGGAAAGGAGGGAGCUACACUAAGGCUGCAGGUGGGGACAGUGCCCAGGGCUCUGACUCCUCUCUGAAAGUUUGAAAGUGUGAGACAACCGCCUUGUUGAGACAGACCUGCUGAAGUCCCCAUCUUGGUUUUCUUCAAAAAGCCCUGCCCUCCCUUCCUGCCAAGGCAUCUGAGUGUGUUCCUGUGGGCACAGUGUGAGGUGGGAGCCUGGCCCUCCCAGCCCAGCACGGGCACCUCUGUCCCUGUCUCAGGUGGAUCAUCUGCUGCA